RNAcentral lists this microRNA (21 nucleotides) under Zea mays. Its description in RNAcentral is "microRNA miR-3143". The record is from RNAcentral. Lineage: Eukaryota; Viridiplantae; Streptophyta; Magnoliopsida; Poales; Poaceae.
AGUGUCUGAUUGAGCCGCGCC